Long non-coding RNA from Populus euphratica (Euphrates poplar), 1601 nucleotides. RefSeq lists it as uncharacterized. Lineage: Eukaryota; Viridiplantae; Streptophyta; Magnoliopsida; Malpighiales; Salicaceae. The record is from RefSeq and is a predicted model, not a curated record. The transcript is spliced from 2 exons.
CUACAGUUGCAGCAUGUCUCCUAAAAUCCAGCCUUCAUUAAAAUCGAUAGAAACACAAACCAAUACUGUUACAUCAAAAAGUUCUCUACUUCAUUGCUUCACACACAAGCUUUUUUUCUGCAACACUAUUCUUUCCGAGACCCGCCAUCCCCACAGUCGAGACGACUGGAAUAACUCGUUGAUUUAAGAAGCAAUCCCAUAACUCUAGACACAUCUUCCUCCAUUUCUAUAACAAUUUCCGAGCUGUCAAAGAAGGAAUCUGUCUCUGGGUCUUGAUCCCAGCUAACUUCAUGAGUUCUAUUUGCAGAUGUAAUUCCAAGCCCACGGCCAACUUACUGAAAGUUUCUUGAUUUCACUGAGGGCUCUAUUAAUUUUUCAUAUCAAAUGCAACAGGAUUGUGCAGUGAAAAGAAAUCCCACUCCUCUCCCUUCUGUUUGUCUUUGCGAAGCGCCUCAUAAGCGAAAUCGUCUGAAACUUCUUCGGCAUUAUAACCUAUGCAUCUUGGAGAACAGCUUUCGACUCGUUUGCAUUUUGCAGCUGUCCUUUCAAUCCCCACGCAACUCUGAUCCCUUCAGCAGCAAAGGAACCCACCCUUCCAAUGUCCCCUCCUAGGCGAACUUGGGAAACUAAGCUGCCAUUGUCUUUACUUUGGGCAAAUUUUUUUUUAUAAAAAAACUUGUUUAUCUCGAAAAUAAGGGGGAAUGCUCUGAUAUUUUUGGAAUGAUUAUGAAAGGAAAAUUAAGAGUGAUCAGCAACAAAGCAACAUCAACAGGAGAGAUGAAAAUUAAGUGUGAUCAACCACAAAGCAACAUCAACGGGAGAGCAGAGCCGGUUCCCUAUAGGAGAUUGCGUGAUGACAGAUUUAUUAAAGGGCGACUCUAAGAGUGGUUCCAAAGGCACUUUCAGAACAUAUCCCGUAAAUAAAAAACACGGACGUCGAUUUCUUAGAUGUCCAUUACUUUCUAGGGAGCAAAUGUUCUAGCAUACUCUUGAAGACCUCACAGCAAAUGCAAAGUUGCCCGAGUCAACCUUGUAACUAGAGAACCUGUUACAUGAAUAUGUGUUUUUUUGCAAGUUUUUCCCAGGACUCUACCAAUGGGAAUGAUUGAUUACCCACAUAAACAUAAUCUACAGAAUCAGGGAUCGAAUCUGAGAUUCAUUUAGAUAUAGAAAACCAGCAUUUCAAGUCAAACUGCACCAUGUAAAAUAAAUCAGGCCUUUAAAACAAGCUUGCUUGCUACAUUGAUAGAUCAGACCUUUAAUUUGAAAAAAUAUGACUGUAGCAAAAAUAAGAAUAACGAAAAAAGCCAUAAUUGCACAAGUCGAUGCAACGCCUUGGCUUAAACUCUAAGAAACUCAUUUUUGACAGUGUACAAAAUCUACUGUCUGUUGCUUCAAAUUACCUCGCUCUAAACAAUUAAUGAUGUUAAGUCUUAUAUAAUACACACUUGCAUGUUGACUAGAUAGAAAUAUCACAAAUUGAAAACCAAAAAUCUAAAAAACAAGCGUAAUUCAACAAAUUUAUGCUAGAAAGUCGAUGGUCCAACUAAAUGAUCUAAUUGUAAAUUUCACUACAGAAUGAGUUGGGCUCCAUAGCAAUC